GACGAACGCUGGCGGCGCGCUUAACACAUGCAAGUCGAACGGAAAGGCCUGCUUUCCCUUGUGGAUUGCGGGUACUCGAGUGGCGAACGGGUGAGUAACACGUGAGUGAUCUGCCCCCAACUUGGGUAUAAGCCUGGGAAACUGGGUCUAAUUCCCGAUAGGACUGCAGGGUGGUGCCUGUGGUGGAAAACGAUUUUCUAGUGGUUGGGGAUGAGCUCGCGGCCUAUCAGCUUGUUGGUGGGGUAAUGGCCUACCAAGGCGGCGACGGGUAGCCGGCCUGAGAGGGUGGACGGCCACAUUGGGACUGAGAUACGGCCCAGACUCCUACGGGAGGCAGCAGUGGGGAAUAUCGCACAAUGGGCGGAAGCCUGAUGCAGCGACGCCGCGUGGGGGAUGACGGCCUUCGGGUUGUAAACUCCUUUCGACCGCGAGGAAGCCACCUGGUUGGAAGGGUGGUGACGGUAGUGGUAGAAGAAGCACCGGCUAACUACGUG
Molecule: ribosomal RNA, 494 nt
Filed under: uncultured bacterium
Lineage: Bacteria
Description: partial 16S ribosomal RNA
Rfam family: Bacterial small subunit ribosomal RNA
Source: RNAcentral